GGAUGCGAUCAUACCAGCACUAAAGCACCGGAUCCCAUCAGAACUCUGAAGUUAAGCGUGCUUGGGCGAGAGUAGUACUAGGAUGGGUGACCUCCUAGGAAGUCCUCGUGUUGCAUUCC
Molecule: ribosomal RNA, 119 nt
Filed under: Triticum aestivum (bread wheat)
Lineage: Eukaryota; Viridiplantae; Streptophyta; Magnoliopsida; Poales; Poaceae
Also listed under: 2 other names
Source: RNAcentral